RNAcentral lists this ribosomal RNA (392 nucleotides) under uncultured bacterium. RNAcentral's name for it is "partial 16S ribosomal RNA". It matches the Rfam family "Bacterial small subunit ribosomal RNA", at positions 523 to 918 of the family's 1533-position model. The record is from RNAcentral.
AUACGGAGGAUGCGAGCGUUAUCCGGAUUUAUUGGGUUUAAAGGGAGCGUAGGCGGGAGCUUAAGUCAGCGGUUAAAUGGUGCGGCUCAACCGUGCCCUGCCGUUGAAACUGGGUUUCUUGAGAGUGCAAGAGGCGGAUGGAAUUCAUGGUGUAGCGGUGAAAUGCUUAGAUAUCAUGAAGAACUCCGAUUGCGAAGGCAGUCCGCUGGGGCACGUCUGACGCUGAUGCUCGAAGGUGCGGGAAUCAAACAGGAUUAGAUACCCUGGUAGUCCGCACGGUAAACGAUGAUUACCCGCUGUCGGCGGCAGACAGUCGGCGGCCAAGCGAAAGCGUUAAGUAUCCCACCUGGGGAGUACGCCGGCAACGGUGAAACUCAAAUGAAUUGACGGGG